UGCGUAGGCGGAAUGAUAAGUUAGUGGUGAAAGCCCCCGGCUCAACCGGGGAACUGCCAUUAAUACUGUCAUUCUUGAGUAUAGUUGAAGUGGGCGGAAUGUAUCAUGUAGCGGUGAAAUGCUUAGAUACGAUACAGAACACCGAUAGCGUAGGCAGCUUGCUAAACUAUAACUGACGCUCAGGCACGAAAGCGUGGGGAGCAAACAGGAUUAGAUACCCUGGUAGUCC
Molecule: ribosomal RNA, 229 nt
Filed under: uncultured bacterium
Lineage: Bacteria
Description: partial 16S ribosomal RNA
Rfam family: Bacterial small subunit ribosomal RNA
Source: RNAcentral